UUGGGUGGGAUUUGGGUGUUUUUGGGUGGGAUUUGGGUGUUUUUGGGUGGGAUUUGGGGUGAUUUUGUUCGGGAUUAAUUUUUGGGUGGGAUUUGGGGUGAUUUUGGGUCCAAUCUGGGCGGUUUUGGCGCAGAGCCGCAGCUGCGGGGCGCCGUGGCGCGGCUCCGGGGCGGCCACGGCCACUUCCUGCAGAUGGGCCCCGACGGGCGCCUGGACGGGACCUGCGAGGAGCCCGGCCCCGGCAGUGAGUGCAGACUGGUUUUACUGGUUUAUACUGGGUUAUACUGGUUUUACUGGUUUAUACUGGUUAUACUGGGUUAUACUGGUUAUACUGGGUUAUAUUGAUUUAUACUGGGUUAUACUGGUUUGUAAUGGUUUAUACUGGGCUAUACUGGUUUAUACUGGGCUAUACUGGGCUAUACUGGGUUAUACUGGGUUAUACUGGGCUAUACUGGGUUGUACUGGUUUAUACUGGGUUAUACUGGGUUAUACUGGGUUAUACUGGGUUGUACUGGGUUAUACUGGGCUAUACUGGGUUAUACUGGGUUAUACUGGGUUAUACUGGGUUAUACUGGUUUGGACUGGGUUAUACUGGUUUUACUGGUUUAUACUGGGCUAUACUGGUUUGGACUGGGUUAUACUGGGUUACACUGGGUUAUACUGGUUUAUACUGGGUUAUACUGGUUUGGCUGGUUUGUAAUGGUUUAUACUGGGUUAUAGUGGGUUAUACUGGGUUGUACUGGGUUAUACUAGUUUUACUAGGCUAUACUGGUUUAUACUGGUUUAUACUGGUUUUUCCUGGUUUUUUUCCAGUUUUUUUUCCUGUUUUUUCCUGUUUUUGACUGGUUUGUACUGGUUUAUACUGGUUUGUACUGGUUUAUACUGGUUUUUACUGGCUUUUUCCCCCUCCCAGCGCUGUUUAACCUGAUCCCGGUCGGGCUCCGCGUCGUGGCCGUUGGGGGUUACUGGUUUAUACUGGUUUAUACUGGUUUAUACUGGUUUAUACUGGUUUCUAUAGUUUUUCCCUGAUUUUUCUUGGUUUUUUUCCGGUUUUUUUCCUGUUUUUUCCUGGUUUAUACUGGUUUGUACUGGUUUGUACUGGUUUAUACUGGUUUAUACUGGUUUUUACUGGUUUUUUCUCCCCCUUCCAGCGCUGUUUAACCUGAUCCCGGUCGGGCUCCGCGUCGUGGCCAUCCAGGGCACCCGAGCCGGCCGUUACGUGGCCAUGAACGGCGCCGGCGUCGUCUACACCUCUGUGAGUCACCCAAAAUCCCCAAAAUCCGCCCCAAAAUCCACCCCAAAAUCCCCAAAAUCCGCCCCAAAAUCCCCCAAAUCCACCACAAAAUCAAACCCAAAAUCCGCCCCAAAAAUCGGCUCCAAAAUCCCAAAAUCUGCCCCAAAAUCUGCCCCAAAAAACACCCCAAAAUACCAAAAUCCGCCCCAAAAUCCGCCCCAAAAUCCCCCAAAUCCAACCCAAAAUCCAACCCAAAAUCCGCCCCAAAAAUCGGCUCCAAAAUCCCCAAAAUCCGCCCCAAAAAUCGGCUCCAAAAUCCCCAAAAUCCGCCC
Chloebia gouldiae (Gouldian finch) is the source of this 1566-nucleotide long non-coding RNA. NCBI's taxonomy places the organism in Eukaryota, Metazoa, Chordata, Aves, Passeriformes, Passeridae. The record is from Ensembl.